UACCUGGAACGUGGAACGGUGCAGUUUAUAGGCAUGGAAAUCAAAAAGCAUAUUCAGUCCAAAAGGAGUGGAGUAGCCUGAGGAGUGUGUGUUUCACUAUCAUUGUUACACCUUCACUCUGGGAUUUACCGGCUCCUGCCCCAGGAAGAUUGCUUCUUGUGUCUCACAAAGGUGUCUUCUUGCUCCAGCUUGUUUGAUCCUUGGCAACCUGCCUGGGAGCCAAAAUACAGUGGAAACAACCUCACCCUAUCACCAUUAUCAGCCCAUCAUCCCCAACCAGGCAUCCUGCUAUCUCCAGACAUUUAACCACUACAGACUCCAUGAGAACAUCUGCUGAAAGUCUGGUGAACUACUAGCUUCAGUCAGACUAAGCGUGGCUGGAGAGUUAAGGAAGGUCCAUUCUGUCCACAGUGCAACAUUUUAUGGAGAUCUUGAGUUGACAUCAUCUGAUACCAGUGAUACCAGAUCAUAAAUAAUUUUGAUGC
Molecule: long non-coding RNA, 485 nt
Organism: Ictalurus punctatus (channel catfish)
Lineage: Eukaryota; Metazoa; Chordata; Actinopteri; Siluriformes; Ictaluridae
Source: Ensembl